UGGGGAAUUUUGGACAAUGGGGGAAACCCUGAUCCAGCCAUUCCGCGUGUGCGAUGAAGGCCUUCGGGUUGUAAAGCACUUUUGGCAGGAAAGAAAUCGUAUGGAUUAAUACUCUGUGCGGAUGACGGUACCUGCAGAAUAAGCACCGGCUAACUACGUGCCAGCAGCCGCGGUAAUACGUAGGGUGCAAGCGUUAAUCGGAAUUACUGGGCGUAAAGCGUGCGCAGGCGGUUAUACAAGACAGGCGUGAAAUCCCCGGGCUUAACCUGGGAAUGGCGCCUGUGACUGUAUAGCUAGAGUGUGUCAGAGGGGGGUAGAAUUCCACGUGUAGCAGUGAAAUGCGUAGAUAUGUGGAGGAAUACCGAUGGCGAAGGCAGCCCCCUGGGUCGAUACUGACGCUCAUGCACGAAAGCGUGGGGAGCAAACAGG
Molecule: ribosomal RNA, 429 nt
Filed under: uncultured bacterium
Lineage: Bacteria
Description: bacterial SSU rRNA
Rfam family: Bacterial small subunit ribosomal RNA
Source: RNAcentral